Non-coding RNA from Caenorhabditis elegans, 21 nucleotides. Lineage: Eukaryota; Metazoa; Nematoda; Chromadorea; Rhabditida; Rhabditidae. The record is from Ensembl.
UGGUCGGAGAACUUAAUUUUG